UACGCGGGGAGCAAGCGUUGUUCGGAUUUACUGGGCGUAAAGGGCGCGUAGGCGGUCGUGACAAGUCACUUGUGAAAUCUCCGGGCUUAACUCGGAACGGUCAAGUGAUACUGUCGGACUAGAGUACAGAAGGGGCAACUGGAAUUCUCGGUGUAGCGGUGAAAUGCGUAGAUAUCGAGAGGAACACCUGCGGCGAAGGCGGGUUGCUGGGCUGAUACUGACGCUGAUGCGCGAAAGCCAGGGGAGCGAACGGG
Molecule: ribosomal RNA, 254 nt
Filed under: uncultured bacterium
Lineage: Bacteria
Description: partial 16S ribosomal RNA
Rfam family: Bacterial small subunit ribosomal RNA
Source: RNAcentral